CAGCAGCCGCGGUAAUACGUAGGGUGCGAGCGUUAAUCGGAAUUACUGGGCGUAAAGCGUGCGCAGGCGGUUGUGUAAGACAGGUGUGAAAUCCCCGGGCUUCACCUGGGAACUGCGCUUGUGACUGCACAGCUAGAGUAUGGCAGAGGGGGGUGGAAUUCCACGUGUAGCAGUGAAAUGCGUAGAGAUGUGGAGGAACACCGAUGGCGAAGGCAGCCCCCUGGGCCAAUACUGACGCUCAUGCACGAAAGCGUGGGGAGCAAACAGGAUUAGAUACCCCUGUAGUCCCUGUCUCUUAUAC
This 301-nucleotide ribosomal RNA is filed under the name uncultured bacterium. RNAcentral describes it as "partial 16S ribosomal RNA". It matches the Rfam family "Bacterial small subunit ribosomal RNA", at positions 509 to 807 of the family's 1533-position model. The record is from RNAcentral.